GCGUCCUUAGCUCAGUGGUAAGAGCACUGGUCUUGUAAACCAGGGGUCCAGAGUUCGAAUCUCUGAAGAGGCU
RNAcentral lists this transfer RNA (73 nucleotides) under Dendronephthya gigantea. RNAcentral's name for it is "tRNA-Thr". It matches the Rfam family "tRNA". Rfam says of the family: Transfer RNA (tRNA) molecules are approximately 80 nucleotides in length. Their secondary structure includes four short double-helical elements and three loops (D, anti-codon, and T loops). Further hydrogen bonds mediate the characteristic L-shaped molecular structure. tRNAs have two regions of fundamental functional importance: the anti-codon, which is responsible for specific mRNA codon recognition, and the 3' end, to which the tRNAs corresponding amino acid is attached (by aminoacyl-tRNA synthetases). tRNAs cope with the degeneracy of the genetic code in two manners: having more than one tRNA (with a specific anti-codon) for a particular amino acid; and 'wobble' base-pairing, i.e. permitting non-standard base-pairing at the 3rd anti-codon position. Lineage: Eukaryota; Metazoa; Cnidaria; Anthozoa; Malacalcyonacea; Nephtheidae. The record is from RNAcentral.